AUGGAGGGGGAUAACUACUGGAAACGGUAGCUAAUACCGCAUAACGUCGCAAGACCAAAGAGGGGGACCUUCGGGCCUCUUGCCAUCGGAUGUGCCCAGAUGGGAUUAGCUAGUAGGUGGGGUAACGGCUCACCUAGGCGACGAUCCCUAGCUGGUCUGAGAGGAUGACCAGCCACACUGGAACUGAGACACGGUCCAGACUCCUACGGGAGGCAGCAGUGGGGAA
This 226-nucleotide ribosomal RNA is filed under the name Escherichia coli. RNAcentral's name for it is "partial 16S ribosomal RNA". It matches the Rfam family "Bacterial small subunit ribosomal RNA", at positions 133 to 361 of the family's 1533-position model. The record is from RNAcentral. Lineage: Bacteria; Pseudomonadati; Pseudomonadota; Gammaproteobacteria; Enterobacterales; Enterobacteriaceae.